This 393-nucleotide ribosomal RNA is filed under the name Triticum aestivum (bread wheat). Its description in RNAcentral is "partial small subunit ribosomal RNA". Lineage: Eukaryota; Viridiplantae; Streptophyta; Magnoliopsida; Poales; Poaceae. The record is from RNAcentral.
AUGUCUGUCCAGCCGAUGGAUGUCUUGAAAGAUGAUGCCCCCACAGGGGUAACGAUAAAGACGUCGCCAUCAUCCGAUCCAAGAGGCCCCUCAACGCCUCCAACGAGGGCUACCACGCCCUCGGGCGCCGCCAUCAAUGGUAGCCUCCUCCAGAUGUUUCCCCCGGAAACAAUGGAGCGAGGGACGCCCCACCAUCGCCUCCAACGAGGAAAACAACACCCACGAGCGCCGCUGACGAUGGUGGCAUCUUCACCCACUUCAGCAGCUAGGCCACCAUCUCCUCCUCCAGUUGAUCAGCCGCGGGAAGCCACCGCGAGGCAACACCCACCGACCAGAUCCCUUUGGAUCGACGAUGAAGACAACCAAGGUAGAGGAGGUCACAUCGCUGCGUGA